This 665-nucleotide long non-coding RNA is filed under the name Phasianus colchicus (ring-necked pheasant). RNAcentral's name for it is "lncRNA (ENSPCLG00000019597.1)". Lineage: Eukaryota; Metazoa; Chordata; Aves; Galliformes; Phasianidae. The record is from RNAcentral.
UUUCAUAAAAUUUGUUCCAUCUAGGGGGGUGUUGUCGUAGGCGCUAACGAGAUAUUUGGCUGUGAUGUGAAAGGACCCCCUGCUGUGUUGUGGUAGGCGAUAAUGGGGUAUUGGGUUGUGACGUGAUAGGACCUCCCCCGCUCUGUGAGUAAUGUGUGAGUAACACGUGACACAUGCUUAAGGGGCUUAGGCAAUAGGGAUGUGUAUUUAAGGGGUUGUUGUGCCUUAAUAAAUUGCCAUUUGCUUCUACAUCAUAUUGGUGUCAGUGUUGCUAUGGCCCUAGCGAAUGCAGAUCACUAGCCCCUAGGCAGUCCAGCCUUUGACACGGUGGUUGCUGGAGAGACUGAUGUUAUGACAGAACAGAAGAAUAAAGCUAAAUUUAGACAUCUCUUCAACAGAAUAAAGCAGAGCCUUUACAUUUUGUAGGUGGCUUCCUCUUAUGACACCGAAUGUGGCUGCAACAGAGUGCUGGAACUGCUGUAUCUUCACUGUGAAACUCCAUCUCCUUGCAGCUGGAUGUGCACGAUGAGGGGUCUGAACAUGCUGCAGGUGCCUGAGGGCUGUACUAAAAUGGAACCCCUUCCAGGGAAGGAUUAACAUUGCCCUCUGCAGCUGUCAACCCAGUGGAGGCUUUCUAAAAGUAUCCAAGGCACAUAUGUAUGAUU